UACUUCUUUUAAUCCAACCAUGACCAUUUAGUCCUAAUUUUCUUGGGGGAAUAAUGAUUCGUGUAUGUAUACUAAUAGAAUGAGGAUGACCCUAUUGCUCUCUUCCUAUUUCAUUCAUCCCAAAGAAUCACAUGAGCCAGCAUCUCCAGGGGAAUAGACCAAUAGGAGAAAUGGAUAUAGUGUUGAGCUGGUUUAGACCCUAUUGUCCCUAGUACAUAAUAGAAGUCUUCCAUAGGAAAAGAAUACUAAAAAGUGAAAAUGUCAAGAUUAAUGUGAAAGUAUUACUCUAUUACAAAGCUACAUUGACAACAGCAAGAACUGCUCAGAGAUAGAAGCAGAUUUUGACUCAACCAGUGCUAAAUUCAACCUAAUCUUAAGAACCAACAUAUGAAAUAAUUCCAGAUUCAAAUGAGCUUCAGAGGCCUUUCUGACUGUAAGAAAGAAUUGAAAUGACUGUCCAGAGUGCAUCCAGGAUUUGGUGUUAUC
Dipodomys ordii (Ord's kangaroo rat) is the source of this 486-nucleotide long non-coding RNA. RefSeq lists it as uncharacterized. NCBI's taxonomy places the organism in Eukaryota, Metazoa, Chordata, Mammalia, Rodentia, Heteromyidae. The transcript is spliced from 4 exons. The record is from RefSeq and is a predicted model, not a curated record.